UCUCUUCCUGGUUCCCUGAGGAGUCCUUCGAGUCUCAGCUUACUCGUUGUUGUCCCAACUCUCUGCUCCUGGUUCUCUGCGGAGUCGUCCUGGUUUCUUUCUCUCCCGGGUUCCCUGCGGAGACCUCCUGGUCUCAGCUGACUGGUUGUGGCUCCAAACUCUCUGCUCCUUGUUCCCUGCCGACUCCUCCUGGUUUGUCUCUCUUCCUGGUUCCCUGAGGAUUCCUCCUUGUCUCAGCUGACGCGUUGUGGCUCCUAAGUCUCUGCUCCUUGUUCCCUGCCCACUCUUCCUGGUUUGUUUCUCUCCCGGGUUCCCUGCGGAGACCUCCUGGUCUCAGCUGACUGGUUGUGGCUCCAAACUCUCUGCUCCUUGUUCCCUGCCGACUCCUCCUGGUUUGUCUCUCUUCCUGGUUCCCUGAGGAUUCCUCCUUGUCUCAGCUGACGCGUUGUGGCUCCUAAGUCUCUGCUCCUUGUUCCCUGCCCACUCUUCCUGGUUUGUUUCUCUUCCUGGUUCCCUGUGGAGUUCUCCUGGUCUCAGCUGACUGGUUGUGGCUCC
Long non-coding RNA from Salarias fasciatus (jewelled blenny), 555 nucleotides. RefSeq lists it as uncharacterized. Lineage: Eukaryota; Metazoa; Chordata; Actinopteri; Blenniiformes; Blenniidae. The transcript has 6 exons. The record is from RefSeq and is a predicted model, not a curated record.